UCGAUUUCUUUUUAAACGGAAACCCACUCCAAAAUGACAACGAUGAACAACUUCCCUUCCGAUUAUAAACUCUGCUACUCCAAUUGCUAUUACUUUAUUUCAGUUUCUGAGAUGAUUUGUUCGUCUUCUCUGCUUCAUGGGUCUGAAGAAUCCUUGCCUUAUCAGAUUGCGUGCCUCUUAAGGAUUAUCGCUUUGCUGAUUAUGGUCAGGCGCCAGAUGCAUUGCCAUCUCUGGCAGCUAUCAAGUCUCAGUCGCAUGUUCAUGGAUUGCCAGCUUUCUCCUCUUUUGUUGGUUCUCCAUCGUCUCUACAGCAAGGGGGUGAUUGCAGUUUAUCACAGACUUACCAUCAACAAUCACAGUUUGAGGAAUUGGCAUUUUGGCAGUCAUUGCAGAAGCAGCAAAAUAACAUAGCGCUCCCAGGGAGCCUCUAUUCUCAGCCACUGCAGCAGCAUCACAGAAACAUUGAGCCUCUAAAGCCAUCACACAAGCAGCAUAUAAGCAUGGAGCCACCAUUCUCAGUUUCAACAGCAGAAUCUCAAUUUCACUGAGCGUCCACUGAAGAUGGGAGAAGAACAUUCUCAAGAAGUUCCUCAUGCCAUCAGCCCCUCACCAUAUGAGUCACAAUCACAGCAGUUAAUUCUUCCUGGCUUGAGGAUCAAUGAAGGAAAAUCUGUUAGCCAGAAGCCUCCAACAUUUAGUAGUGGGCAGUAUCUCCCUCAAAGAGGUUUUGACAAAGGGAAAGAGAAGGUAACUUCAUUUUCUACUGAUGUGGACAACUUGACAUAUGCAAUAAAUGAACGACUAGCUCUAGAAUUGUCCAGGAGUGGGGGUCGAUCAAAUGCUUUGUAUUCUGUUAGUCCGGAGCUAGAAUACAUUCAUCAGACUCCUGCUGUGAGAACUGAUAUUACAUUGGAUAGAGAAAUUGAGGAUUCAGGAAGCAAUUCCCUGAUGGAACUCAUGGAGGUGCUAAAAGAAUGUAGCCCUCCAGGACCAGAUAUUCCUGAUCCAUAUGGAGACUCUAAUGGGCCAUUGUUUGAUAUCCCUUUCUUUUCCAGGAUCACCGGGCUUUCUGGCUUGUCAGGUCCUGUUAGCAGUUUGGAGAAUUUCCCUUUGCCAUGUAAUGCUAAGGAUUUGCACUGAGAAAAGGCAAACAAGUAUUGAACAUGAACAGGAAAAGACGGAUUUUU
Pistacia vera is the source of this 1187-nucleotide long non-coding RNA. RefSeq lists it as uncharacterized. NCBI's taxonomy places the organism in Eukaryota, Viridiplantae, Streptophyta, Magnoliopsida, Sapindales, Anacardiaceae. The record is from RefSeq and is a predicted model, not a curated record. The transcript is spliced from 5 exons.